This 467-nucleotide ribosomal RNA is filed under the name uncultured bacterium. RNAcentral's name for it is "partial 16S ribosomal RNA". It matches the Rfam family "Bacterial small subunit ribosomal RNA", at positions 28 to 507 of the family's 1533-position model. The record is from RNAcentral.
GACGAACGCUGGCGGCGUGCUUAACACAUGCGAGUCGAACGGAAAGGCCCUGCUUUUGUGGGGUGCUCGAGUGGCGAACGGGUGAGUAACACGUGAGUAACCUGCCCUUGACUUUGGGAUAACUUCAGGAAACUGGGGCUAAUACCGGAUAGGAGCUCCUGCUGCAUGGUGGGGGUUGGAAAGUUUCGGCGGUUGGGGAUGGACUCGCGGCUUAUCAGCUUGUUGGUGGGGUAGUGGCUUACCAAGGCUUUGACGGGUAGCCGGCCUGAGAGGGUGACCGGCCACAUUGGGACUGAGAUACGGCCCAGACUCCACGGGAGGCAGCAGUGGGGAAUAUUGCACAAUGGGCGGAAGCCUGAUGCAGCAACGCCGCGUGCGGGAUGACGGCCUUCGGGUUGUAAACCGCUUUCGCCUGUGACGAAGCGUGAGUGACGGUAAUGGGUAAAGAAGCACCGGCUAACUACGUG